RNAcentral lists this long non-coding RNA (588 nucleotides) under Vigna radiata. Its description in RNAcentral is "long non-coding RNA (VRAD_LNC004767)". The record is from RNAcentral. Lineage: Eukaryota; Viridiplantae; Streptophyta; Magnoliopsida; Fabales; Fabaceae.
AAGAAAAGGACACAACAACAACAAGAAACUCAAUUUUGGAUUUGAAUUUUAAGUUUUGUUUGCAUUUUUCCAGCAAGUGUUUUGCCUUGGCUAAUCUGGUUGGUCUUGUAUUCUUAGUUUUAUUUUGAUUUUAUUCAUCUAUUCUAGCACCUUUCUUUAGGAAUUUCAUUUGAGUGCCUUCCUAUUUGACUUGCCUUAAUUUUUUGCUUGUCAUUCUUGGCUUUCCUUGAAGUAUUGUCUCCUUUUUCUCCCUUGGAGUUUAGCUUUCCAAAUUGUGCUUUUAUUGCUUUUAUUUUUGGCCUCUUUGGUGUAGGAAAAAUAGAUUUGGUUGGUGGUUCUUUUUGGAGAUUGACUAACCUUGAAGGUAGCAUUUUUGAAGGCUAAAGAAGGCUAAAAGAAGCAUUUCUCCUUGGACUUUGGAGGGAGAUAACUACAUUGUUUUGGAGUGAAUCAAGAGAGGACAAACACUUGAAAGAAACAAGGAAUUAGGGGCUGUUUUUGCACUUUUAUGGCUAUUAAUUUUGUAUCACGGAACCUUUGUGUUCUUGUAAUUUUUUUUAGUUGAUUACAUUUUCUAUAUGCUUGGUG